UUUCGACCUGAGGUCAGGCAAGAACACCCGCUGAACUAAGCAUAUCAAUAAGCGAGUA
This 58-nucleotide ribosomal RNA is filed under the name Trebouxia sp. 6 GS-2016. RNAcentral's name for it is "partial large subunit ribosomal RNA". The record is from RNAcentral. Lineage: Eukaryota; Viridiplantae; Chlorophyta; Trebouxiophyceae; Trebouxiales; Trebouxiaceae.